GACGAACGCUGGCGGCGUGCUUAACACAUGCAAGUCGAACGGAAAGGCCUCUUUCGGGGGGUACUCGAGUGGCGAACGGGUGAGUAACACAUGAGUAACCUACCCUUGACUUUGGGAUAACUUCAGGCGACAGGGGCUAAUACCGGAUAGGAGCUCCUUCUGCAUGGAGGGGGUUGGAAAGUUUCGGCGGUUGGGUGUGGACUCGCGGCUUAUCCGCUUGUUGGUGGGGUGGUGGCUUACCAAGGCUUUGACGUGUAGCCGGCCUGAGAGGGUGACCGGCCACAUUGGGACUGAGAUACGGCCCAGACUCCUACGGGAGGCAGCAGUGGGGAAUAUUGCACAAGGGGUGGAAGCCUGAUGCAGCAAGGCCGUGUGCGGGAUGACGGCCUUAGGGUUGUAAACCGCUUUCGCUCAUGACGAAGCUUUGUGUGACGGUAGUGGGUAAAGAAGCACCGGCUAACUACGUG
This 467-nucleotide ribosomal RNA is filed under the name uncultured bacterium. Its description in RNAcentral is "partial 16S ribosomal RNA". It matches the Rfam family "Bacterial small subunit ribosomal RNA", at positions 28 to 507 of the family's 1533-position model. The record is from RNAcentral.